GACGAACGCUGGCGGCGUGCUUAACACAUGCAAGUCGAACGGAAAGGCCCUGCUUUUGUGGGGUGCUCGCGUGGCGAACGGGUGAGUAACCCGUGAGUAACCUGCCCUUGACUUUGGGAUAACUUCAGGAAACUGGUGCUAAUACCGGAUAGGUGCUCCUGCUGCAUGGUGGGGGUUGGAACGUUUCGGCGGUUGGGGAUGGACUCGCGGCUUAUCAGCUUGUUGGUGGGGUAGUGGCUUACCAAGGCUUUGACGGGUAGCCGGCCUGAGAGGGUGACCGGCCACAUUGGGACUGAGAUACGGCCCAGACUCCUACGGGAGGCAGCAGUGGGGAAUAUUGCACAAUGGGCGGAAGCCUGAGGCAGCAACGCCGCGUGCGGGAUGACGGCCUUCGGGUUGUAAACCGCUGUCGCCUGUGACGAAGCGUGAUUGACGGUAAUGGGUAAAGAAGCACCGGCUAACUACGUG
This 468-nucleotide ribosomal RNA is filed under the name uncultured bacterium. RNAcentral describes it as "partial 16S ribosomal RNA". It matches the Rfam family "Bacterial small subunit ribosomal RNA", at positions 28 to 507 of the family's 1533-position model. The record is from RNAcentral.